Homo sapiens (human) is the source of this 488-nucleotide long non-coding RNA. Lineage: Eukaryota; Metazoa; Chordata; Mammalia; Primates; Hominidae. The record is from Ensembl.
AUCAAUUUUAUCUUCAGCUUCUGUUAUUAAUUCUUAUGACGAAAAUGACAUCCGUCAUUCCAAACCUCUGCUAGUUCAGAUGGAUUGCAAUUAUAAUGGAUAUGUUGCGGGUAUUCCAAAUUCUCUUGUGACUCUCAGCGUAUGUUCAGGACUCAGGGGAACAAUGCAGCUGAAAAACAUCUCAUAUGGAAUUGAACCGAUGGAGGCUGUAUCAGGAUUUAUACACAAGAUUUAUGAAGAAAAAUAUGCUGACACUAAUAUUCUCUUAGAAGAAAAUGACACUUAUACUUGGUUUAAUUCAGAGUAUCAAGUCAGAAAAAGUUCAGAAAAAACUGACUUUAUUAAGUUAUUCCCUCGAUAUAUUGAAAUGCAUAUUGUUGUGGACAAAAAUUUGGAGUGUCAGCAGCUAUAGUGAAGUUUCAAGAAGGGGGAAUGCUGUCGGGACUGAGCAGGCAAUGGCCUAAAAACAAUAAAAAGCCCUACUAAAA